UGAACGCUAGCGGCAGGCUUACCACAUGCAAGUCGAGGGGCAGCGCGGGAUAGCAAUAUCCUGGCGGCGACCGGCGGAAGGGUGCGUAACGCGUGAGCGACAUGCCCGUUGCCCGGGGACAACCGGUGGAAACGCCGACUAAUCCCCGAUGGGAUAUUGUGCCGCAUGGCACGAUAUUGAAAGUUACGGCGGCGACGGAUUGGCUCGCGUCCGAUUAGCUUGUUGGCGGGGUAACGGCCCACCAAGGCUGCGAUCGGUAGGGGUUCUGAGAGGAAGGCCCCCCACAAUGGGACUGAGACACGGCCCAUACUCCUACGGGAGGCAGCAGUGAGGAAUAUUGGUCAAUGGGCGGAAGCCUGAACCAGCCAUGCCGCGUGCGGGAAGGAGGCCCUAUGGGCUGUGAACCGCUUUUGCCUGGGGGCAAUAAGGGCGUCGCGCACGUCCGAUGAGAGUACCAGGCGAAUAAGCAUCGGCUAACUCCGU
Molecule: ribosomal RNA, 483 nt
Filed under: uncultured bacterium
Lineage: Bacteria
Description: partial 16S ribosomal RNA
Rfam family: Bacterial small subunit ribosomal RNA
Source: RNAcentral